AAAUUGAAGAGUUUGAUCAUGGCUCAGAUUGAACGCUGGCGGCAGGCCUAACACAUGCAAGUCGAGCGGAAACGAGUUAUCUGAACCUUCGGGGRACGAUAACGGCGUCGAGCGGCGGACGGGUGAGUAAUGCCUAGGAAAUUGCCCUGAUGUGGGGGAUAACCAUUGGAAACGAUGGCUAAUACCGCAUGAUGCCUACGGGCCAAAGAGGGGGACCUUCGGGCCUCU
This 228-nucleotide ribosomal RNA is filed under the name Vibrio parahaemolyticus. RNAcentral describes it as "partial 16S ribosomal RNA". It matches the Rfam family "Bacterial small subunit ribosomal RNA", at positions 1 to 217 of the family's 1533-position model. Lineage: Bacteria; Pseudomonadati; Pseudomonadota; Gammaproteobacteria; Vibrionales; Vibrionaceae. The record is from RNAcentral.